RNAcentral lists this ribosomal RNA (103 nucleotides) under Salmonella bongori. The record is from RNAcentral. RNAcentral also lists the same sequence under 5 other names. Lineage: Bacteria; Pseudomonadati; Pseudomonadota; Gammaproteobacteria; Enterobacterales; Enterobacteriaceae.
UAGCGCGGUGGUCCCACCUGACCCCAUGCCGAACUCAGAAGUGAAACGCCGUAGCGCCGAUGGUAGUGUGGGGUCUCCCCAUGCGAGAGUAGGGAACUGCCAG